This 1131-nucleotide long non-coding RNA is filed under the name Sus scrofa (pig). RNAcentral's name for it is "lncRNA (ENSSSCG00040052583.1, ENSSSCG00045010904.1)". Lineage: Eukaryota; Metazoa; Chordata; Mammalia; Artiodactyla; Suidae. The record is from RNAcentral.
AGACCGGGAGUUGAGAGCAAGAGGGCCUUGUCCACGGUCAAAAGGAAGAGGACACGUGUUGAUGAGGCUGUGGAGGAAUUGGAACCCUUGUCCACUGCUGGUGAGGUGAAAUGCUGCUGCCACUGCUCAGAAGAGUCGGGCAGCUCCUCAGGAGCCGAUGUUCUAAAGGCAAGAACUCAGCUUAUGAACUUAGUUGAUCUCCGUUGAAUGAACCCGCUGAAUGAACCCUUGCUGGUCAGUUCAAACAGCCGCACGAGGUAGAAAAGUAUUUAAUUUAUCCAGUGAUUUGAAACUGUUCAUCCCGGGAUCCACAAGCUGGGCCUCUGAUGAAAACAAGUAAUAAUAUUCUUUCCAUUUACAACAAAAACACAAUCGAUGGGAUUUUCUUUAAAGACGUUAACGAAUUUCGAAAAGGUUAUUUGUACACAUGGUAAAACAGUAAAACGGCAUAAGCAGAUGAUGCUUUUAUAAUGGGAAGAAUGAUGUUUUCUUGGGGUUUUAGUAGAUGCUUUUAUCAGAUUAAGGAAAUUCUUUUCUAUUAGGUCUUAUGUCAUAAAUGAUAUAUUGAAUAUAAUCAAAUGCUUUUUCUGAAACCGUUGGGAUGAUAUAGCUUUUCUCUUUUAAUCAAUUAAACAGACAAUUGAUAUUUAUGUUUGUUCUCUGUUGACUACCCUUGAGUUCCAGGGUGAACUCCGACUUGCUCAUGAUUAUCUUGUUGCUGCAUUUGGGUUGCUUCUGUUUUGUUCAGGACUUUUGUGUUGAAGUCCAUGAGUGAGACUGGCCUGCACUCUUCCUUUCUGGUCCUGUCCUUUGUCUGAUUUGGAUCAAGUUGAUACUGUCUUCAUAGAAUGAGCUGGGUAUGCCCCCUUCUUUUCCAGUUAUCUGGAUUGUUUUUUAUGUGAUGCUUCAGAAUCUCGGCUUCAGCUCCAUGGUCACAUCCUCUGAGAAGGUUGCCAAGGGUGCUGCCUCCUGGCAGUUAUGCCCCUGUGUAACCCCCCUCAUUGGUGAGGCUGGACAGGUGCCUUGCUUCUACUGAAUAAAUGUAGUGAAAGAGAUGGGAUGCCACUUCUGAGAUGAGGUGAUAAAAGCCUGUGGCUUCCACCUUGGGCGCCCUCUCUCGCCCACUCACUC